UCGUAAGUGUUUAAGGGCACAUGGUGGAUGCCUUGGCAUCGAGAGCCGAUGAAGGACGUGGGAGGCUGCGAUAUGCCUCGGGGAGCUGUCAACCGAGCGUUGAUCCGAGGAUUUCCGAAUGGGGAAACCCAGCACGAGUUAUGUCGUGUUACCCGUACCUGAAUAUAUAGGGUGCGGGAGGUAACGCGGGGAA
RNAcentral lists this ribosomal RNA (193 nucleotides) under Mycobacterium sp. X1. RNAcentral describes it as "partial 23S large subunit ribosomal RNA". It matches the Rfam family "Bacterial large subunit ribosomal RNA", at positions 1 to 192 of the family's 2925-position model. Lineage: Bacteria; Bacillati; Actinomycetota; Actinomycetes; Mycobacteriales; Mycobacteriaceae. The record is from RNAcentral.